This 29-nucleotide ribosomal RNA is filed under the name Paxillus obscurosporus. RNAcentral describes it as "partial 28S ribosomal RNA". The record is from RNAcentral. Lineage: Eukaryota; Fungi; Basidiomycota; Agaricomycetes; Boletales; Paxillaceae.
GACCUCAAAUCAGGUAGACUACCCGCUGA